This 401-nucleotide ribosomal RNA is filed under the name gamma proteobacterium PAS45. Its description in RNAcentral is "bacterial SSU rRNA". It matches the Rfam family "Bacterial small subunit ribosomal RNA", at positions 106 to 503 of the family's 1533-position model. The record is from RNAcentral. Lineage: Bacteria; Pseudomonadati; Pseudomonadota; Gammaproteobacteria.
CAGAGUAAUGGGUAGGAAAUUGCCCUGAUGUGCCGGAUAACCAAAGGAAACGAUGGCUAAUACCGCAUGAUGCCUACGGGCCAAAGAGGGGGACCUUCGGGCCUCUCGCGUCAGGAUAUGCCUAGGUGGGAUUAGCUAGUUGGUGAGGUAAGGGCUCACCUUGGCGACGAUCCCUAGCUGGUCUGAGAGGAUGAUCAGCCACACUGGAACUGAGACACGGUCCAGACUCCUACGGGAGGCAGCAGUGGGGAAUAUUGCACAAUGGGCGCAAGCCUGAUGCAGCCAUGGGGCGUGUAUGAAGAAGGCCUUCGGGUUGUAAAGUACUUUCAGUCGUGAGGAAGGUGGUGGCGUUAAUAGCGGUAUCAUUUGACGUUAGCGACAGAAGAAGCACCGGCUAACUC